RNAcentral lists this ribosomal RNA (491 nucleotides) under uncultured bacterium. RNAcentral's name for it is "partial 16S ribosomal RNA". It matches the Rfam family "Bacterial small subunit ribosomal RNA", at positions 29 to 506 of the family's 1533-position model. The record is from RNAcentral.
AGUGAACGCUGGCGGUAGGCCUAACACAUGCAAGUCGAACGGCAGCACACUAAGAGCUUGCUCUUACGGGUGGCGGGUGGCGGAAGGGUGAGGAAUACAUCGGAAUCUACUUUUUCGUGGGGGUUAACGUAGGGAAACUUACGCUAAUACCGCAUACGACCUACGGGUGAAAGCAGGGGAUCUUCGGACCUUGCGCGAUUGAAUGAGCCGAUGUCGGAUUAGCUAGUUGGCGGGGUAAAAGCCAACCAAGGGGACGAUCCGUAGCUGGUCUGAGAGGAUGGUGAGCGACAGUGAAGGUGACACGCGGUACAGAGACCUACGUGAGGCAGCGAUGGGUAAGAUUGGACAAUGGGGGCAAGCCUGAUCCAGCCAUAGCACGUGGGUGAAGAAGGCCUUCGGGUUGGAAAGCCCUUUUGGUGGGAAAGAAAAGCAGCAGGUUAAUACCCCGCUGUUCUGACGGUACCCAAAGAAUAAGCACCGGCUAACAUCGU